Molecule: long non-coding RNA, 1289 nt
Organism: Cygnus olor (mute swan)
Lineage: Eukaryota; Metazoa; Chordata; Aves; Anseriformes; Anatidae
Exons: 4
Source: RefSeq, a predicted model, not a curated record
UCGUGGUUUCAACCAGUAGCAAAGCUGAGCACAUAUUCUAGAGACACAAACAGAGAGAGACAGGACACUGACACAACUGGUCACACAGGCUGACCCAGUCAAGGGCUUCUUUCAACAGCACUUUCACACAGGACUCAAAUAAAACAGACACAAACAGCAGAGUGCCCUUCCUCCUUUUCUGUCUGGUAGAGAUGGGAGUCCACUGGCACACACACAGUACUCUCCAGGCACACUUGCAGACAUGCAUUUGCAGAUCCCUCGAGUACCAUGCACAGCCCCCCUGCCUUACCUACUUCACGGUUUGUCCAGUUGCUGGCUGGUCCAGCUUGAAGCUCAUUGUAAACAUGCAGCUCACACACUUGUCCCUCAUAAACACCAUAUUCACAAGUUCCCCUGGGCAUACCAGCAUGGGCCACCUGCCUGCCAGAUACCUCGUCCUGGACCCAAGGCCCCCGCUACUCACCAGCUAGUCCAGUUUACAGUGUGCUAGCAAAUACACACGCACACCCACCAGGUUUUGGGAAGAUAUAGAAACUCACCGCCCCAGCAGCCCGCACCAGGCAUGUGGGCUGACCUGCAGCACCACUCCAGCCACCAUUGUGAAGAUCUUACCUCACUCACAUUGUGAUUUCACGUCACCUUACAUUGUGAAGUUGGCAUCACAGGCCAUGGGGACUACAACCCAGGCUUGGAUCUGUAGCUGGCACCAGCCUUCACGCACACUCACUCAGGCUCCACCAGUAGCUGGCAAGUUGACCUUCAGCACACAUGCACACAGGAGAGAGUGAGAACACAGAAAGAGAACGUUGGUGUUCAAAGUCCUGCUGGAUUCAGUGGAGCAGGAAGAAACCUGUGUAACUGUGGAGGAUGAGCUCAGUGUGUAUGAAGGGGAUAUGAAACCUAAUAAUAAUGUCUGAGCACCUGAGCAAUGGAAAACAGUAGCUGCACGUUAUAGGAAGAUCAACCCCAUCAGUGCCAAAUGUGCUUUGCUUGUGGAUCUUGACCUGGUGUUGGCGCAAGUUAUCUGCUUACAUUGCUCAGGGUCCUUCCUCUGCUGAUAAAUAUUGCAGUCGUCCAGUACGGGAAAAAUGCUAUUUAUUUAAGGCAAAUGAAGAGUACAUGUAACAGUAAGUUAAAAAUAUCUCAUAAAAUGAGACAUUCUACUCAACCACGUUCAUACAAUUUUGAAUUUAAAAAUAAAUAAUAAUUAUGAAUCAGCCUGUGCUUUGCAUUUUUCCUAUAUUACGUGGACCUGUACUGGAGUACUAGGACAUAGGUAUGCCUUCUAA